Pseudoxanthomonas spadix BD-a59 is the source of this 401-nucleotide non-coding RNA. It matches the Rfam family "transfer-messenger RNA". Rfam says of the family: Bacterial tmRNA, also known as 10Sa RNA or SsrA, is named for its dual tRNA and mRNA-like properties. Its role is to liberate the mRNA from a stalled ribosome. Lineage: Bacteria; Pseudomonadati; Pseudomonadota; Gammaproteobacteria; Lysobacterales; Lysobacteraceae. The record is from Rfam.
GGGGGUGCACUGGCUUCGACGGGGGUUGCGAAAUUACCUGGUGCAUGCCGAGGGGGUAGCUUUCCUCGUAAAUCCAGCUGCAAACUUCUAGUUGCCAACGACGACAACUACGGUUCGGACUUCGCUCUCGCCGCCUAAACAGCAGCGUUGAGUUUUAGUUCUACAGCCGCCUAAGGCGAACCCCCGAACCUACUUGUGCCCGUGCUCGUAGGUGUAGGGUCAUUAUCACGGAACCGGCUGUGACGGCUGCCUGUCAGUCAUGGCUUAACCAAAACAGGCUGGUCCUGGGGUGCGUUUUGCACACCGUGCUGCUCCAGGACGAGACCCAACGGUGAGCUAAGCAUGUAGUACCGGGGAUGGAGUGCCUUCGGACGGGGGUUCAAUUCCCCCCACCUCCACCA